This 394-nucleotide long non-coding RNA is filed under the name Citrus x clementina. Its description in RNAcentral is "Citrus clementina (C. clementina) long non-coding RNA (CCLE_LNC003953)". The record is from RNAcentral. Lineage: Eukaryota; Viridiplantae; Streptophyta; Magnoliopsida; Sapindales; Rutaceae.
AAUCAGUAUACGAUAACACUCCAACGCCAAUCAUAUUCAACUUCAAAGUGACUCAGAUUAUCGGUAUUAUCAUGGCAUUGCAUACAACAUUGAUUAAUGCCAAGAAACAACUCAUAAUCUCUUUAUGUACUUGAAGAAUCUCUAAGAGAAGAUAUUCUAUUUUUUUAAUAAAUUUAAAGCAAACAAAGAAUACCUAUCACAUAGUACUAAACCUUGGUAUAAUCAUAAAAUUAUAAAAUCAUAUCCAUCCAUAAAGUACUGGAUAUAGGAUGGGUGAAAGUCUAUUUAGUCCCUGUAUUUUAAGAUUAGUGUUCAUUUAGUCCCUGUAUUUUUAAAAAUAUCUCGAAAUAUCCCUGCCGUUAAAGUAUUAAUACCCCUACCGUUACUUUUCAUU